UUAUCACUGCCAGAAUCCUCCAUUUCUGUAGUGUCCUGUGUGAUUGGAAUAAUCAACUUCUCACACCAGCAAGGAUUUUACAGGUGCCUUGGAUUAAAACAGAAUUUUUUUUUAAAAAACUUUUAAGUCUUUAUUUACAAUGCCACUUUUAAAAGAAAUCUCAAUUAUGGAACUGCCGAUAGGCCUGUUUAAUGCCAUUUGUGGUAGAAUUAUUUAAAUGCUUUUUUCCUUUAAAACUUCACCGUGAAGUCACAGACAGUAACCAGUGUUUUAUCAUGUAUUGAAGGCACAUGAGUGUUUUUCAGAGUAUUGCCCAUGGACCAACCAUUCAGUUCAUGGGAUGCUUAUUAAGAAUACAGAUUCCAAGGCCCCAUUCCAGUUCAUCCACAUCACAACUCAGGUGUGGCUUUCGAGUGUCUGUUCCACAGACACCACAGACAUAGCACACGACAGUUGAGAACCACUAGAAUGGGGAGUAGGGAAAACAUGUUUGAUGGGUGUUUAUUUGUGGGCGCAGAGCUGAGCCACGCACAUUGAGACCGGCGUCUGUGCUUGUGCUUCUGCACAUCUCAGUGUUCACUAACUCUCCAUUCACUAGCAACUGCAAACUAAGUCCAGGCUGUUGGCUGGCCUCUCAGCUCUUCAGUGAUGACUUUGACCUGUUGAAUCAUCUUUGGCUCAUGGCAAAGCGUAACUCUGAAGCUUGCCUGCCGAAGCCGUUGCCUUCCUGAUAGUCACCACUGGUCAUCUCAGACGACUGCACAUGUUGAUAACAUGAGGAACAUGGG
Molecule: long non-coding RNA, 788 nt
Filed under: Androctonus crassicauda
Lineage: Eukaryota; Metazoa; Arthropoda; Arachnida; Scorpiones; Buthidae
Source: RNAcentral